AUUGCCUCAGUAACGGCGAGUGAAGCGGCAACAGCUCAAAUUUGAAAUCUGGCUCCUUCGGGGUCCGAGUUGUAAUUUGUAGAGAGUGCUUCGGGCGAGGCCUCGGUCUAAGUCCAUUGGAACAUGGUGUCAUGGAGGGUGAGAAUCCCGUAUGCGACCGUGGCUCGAGCCCAUGUGAAGCCUCUUCGACGAGUCGAGUUGUUUGGGAAUGCAGCUCAAAAUGGGUGGUAAAUUUCAUCUAAAGCUAAAUACUGGCUGGAGACCGAUAGCGCACAAGUAGAGUGAUCGAAAGAUGAAAAGCACUUUGGAAAGAGAGUCAAACAGUACGUGAAAUUGUUGAAAGGGAAGCGCUUGCAACCAGACCUGCCCGUAGGCGAUCAGCCGCUGUUCUCAGCGGUGUACUCGUUCUUCGAUCAGGCCAGCAUCGGUUUCGGCGGUCGGAUAAAGGCCUUGGGAAUGUAGCUUCCCUCCGGGGGAGUCUUAUAGCCCUCGGUGCAAUGCGGCCAGCCGGGACCGAGGACCGCGCUUCGGCUAGGAUGCUGGCGUAAUGGUUGUAAGCGACCCGUCUUGAAACACGGACCAAGGAGUCUAACAUCUAUGCGAGUGUUUGGGUGUCAAACCCAUGCGCGGAAUGAAAGUGAACGGAGGUGAGAACCCUCAAGGGCGCAUCAUCGACCGAUCCAGAUGUCUUCGGAUGGAUUUGAGUAUGAGCAUAGCUGUUGGGACCCGAAAGAUGGUGAACUAUGCCUGAAUAGGGUGAAGCCAGAGGAAACUCUGGUGGAGGCUCGCAGCGGUUCUGACGUGCAAAUCGAUCGUCAAAUUUGGGUAUAGGGGCGAAA
Molecule: ribosomal RNA, 839 nt
Filed under: Xanthoparmelia tortula
Lineage: Eukaryota; Fungi; Ascomycota; Lecanoromycetes; Lecanorales; Parmeliaceae
Description: LSU rRNA
Rfam family: Eukaryotic large subunit ribosomal RNA
Source: RNAcentral